CUACGGGAUGCUCCAGUGGGGAAUCUUGGACAAUGGGCGCAAGCCUGAUCCAGCCAUGCCGCGUGAGUGAAGAAGGCCUUAGGGUCGUAAAGCUCUUUCGCCAGAGAUGAUAAUGACAGUAUCUGGUAAAGAAACCCCGGCUAACUCCGUGCCAGCAGCCGCGGUAAUACGGAGGGGGUUAGCGUUGUUCGGAAUUACUGGGCGUAAAGCGCGCGUAGGCGGAUUAGUCAGUCAGAGGUGAAAUCCCAGGGCUCAACCCUGGAACUGCCUUUGAUACUGCCAGUCUUGAGUUCGAGAGAGGUGAGUGGAAUUCCGAGUGUAGAGGUGAAAUUCGUAGAUAUUCGGAGGAACACCAGUGGCGAAGGCGGCUCACUGGCUCGAUACUGACGCUGAGGUGCGAAAGCGUGGGGAGCAAACAGGAUUAGAUACCCCAGUAGUC
Molecule: ribosomal RNA, 439 nt
Filed under: uncultured bacterium
Lineage: Bacteria
Description: partial 16S ribosomal RNA
Rfam family: Bacterial small subunit ribosomal RNA
Source: RNAcentral